GAAAUACGAGAUUCAAGUAUAAGCUUCUAACUUAAUACUUUAGCAGUGUAACUCUGUUAAUAUUUCU
RNAcentral lists this transfer RNA (67 nucleotides) under Miridiba trichophora. RNAcentral's name for it is "tRNA-Ser". The record is from RNAcentral. Lineage: Eukaryota; Metazoa; Arthropoda; Insecta; Coleoptera; Scarabaeidae.